Molecule: long non-coding RNA, 1390 nt
Organism: Gorilla gorilla gorilla (western lowland gorilla)
Lineage: Eukaryota; Metazoa; Chordata; Mammalia; Primates; Hominidae
Exons: 3
Source: RefSeq, a predicted model, not a curated record
UUUAAUCCUAAUUUCUAAAAAUUUUGUGUCCAAGGUGUUUCUUCUGGAAAAUAAGAAACAUAAAGUUUUUGGCCUUUUUUCAAAGAAGCACUGAUUUUGACAUGUACUCUUGGAUGCUUUUCUGGUGUUUUUCUGGCAUUUCAGUCACUUUUCUGGUGUUUUUGCUUUAUGCAUUUUGCUUUUUCCAGUAUCUAUGCGUUAAAGUGGGUGUAGGUGUGAAUGUAUGGUUUUGUGUUCCUUUUCUAGUGUAGGCAUUUUAUUGUACUAUGUAAUGCUAGUAUACAAAAAGGUAUUUUUAUUAAAACCUUAAUAUUAGUAGCAAACUGUUCCAGUUAUCUAUUACUGUGUAAAAGCAACAGCCAUUUUCCCGACAUAGUGGCUCACAUCUGUAGUCCCAGCAGUUUGGGAGGCCAAGGUGGGAGGAUUGCUUGAGCCCAGGAGCUCAAGACCAGCCUGGGCAACAUAGUGAGACCCCUCAACAUGUAUAUAUUAUAUAUAUAUAUAUAGUUUUUGAUGUAUUUGACAGUUUUGAGGAGUACUGGUGAGGAAUUUUGUAGAAUGAUUUUUCAUUGGAAUUUGCUAAUAUUUUUCUCAUUAUUAUCCUGGGGUUAUGAGAUUUUUAGGAAGAAGAUCACAGAAGUAAAGUGCCAUUUUCAUCACAUCAUUUUAAGGGUACAAAUUAUCAACAUGAUUUGUGAUUACUGAUGUUCACCUUGAUCACCUGACUGAGGUAGUGUUUGCCAUGUUUCUCUAAGUGCCUUGAACAGUACCUGCCACUCAAUAGGAUGUCUGAUUUGAAAGUGAUCCUGGCUUGGGAAAAGUCCAUCAGGUGACUAUUCUCCAUCUUCUUGGGUGUCCAGAGGGUGUUGGAGUGGCUCCAGCAUAGCUACAAGGGCAGGCUCUGAGGUGGUAUCUGCCCCCAAAAAUCAUUUCUGUGUUCCAUGAGCAUCAUUUGAGAAGACCUGCUGCAUCAUCCCUACCAAUAAGGCUGUAAGCACCGGAUUUCCUGUAUCAUGUCUUUUCUAGCUUAAAAUAUAGUGCUUUUUCCUUCUCAGAAGCCUGACUAAAAAAAAGAAAGGAAAGGUGAGAAAAAGAAAAAAAUGGAAUAAAGAUGUCUAUGUCACAACAGGAAUUUUGCCUUGAGAAAAAGCCCUGGUGAGAGCAAUACAACUCUGCUGAUCUGUCUCUUUCCUUCCAUGGGCUUUCCUCUUCUGGGUCCUGUUUAUCGGCCACCCUCAAUUUUAAUUGCACAGUUGAAGGAUGCUUCUGGAGACUGUUAUUCUUGGGACCACAGUUGCUGACUUCUGUGGCACAAGCUCUUCUUCCCCACUUGAAAAUUAGAAUUGCUGGAACCAGUGUCAUUAUCCCAGCAUGCUCCAUCAUCACCAAG